RNAcentral lists this ribosomal RNA (575 nucleotides) under uncultured fungus. RNAcentral describes it as "eukaryotic LSU rRNA". The stretch from base 216 to 369 matches the Rfam family "5.8S ribosomal RNA". The record is from RNAcentral. Lineage: Eukaryota; Fungi.
GGCUCUCCGGGGCAUGUGCACGCCUAACAUCAGCCUUUCUUUAACCACCUGUGCACCUUUCUGUAGACUUUGGAUACUCCUCGAGGAACCCCCCUCGGUUUGAGGACUGCUGUGCGACAGGCUAGCUUUCCUUGCAUUUUCAGUCUAUGUUUUUUUAUAUUAUACACCUAUAACAGAAUGUUAUUAAUUGGCUUUAAAUGCCUUUAAACUUAUACAACUUUCAACAACGGAUCUCUUGGCUCUCGCAUCGAUGAAGAACGCAGCGAAAUGCGAUAAGUAAUGUGAAUUGCAGAAUUCAGUGAAUCAUCGAAUCUUUGAACGCACCUUGCGCUCCUUGGUAUUCCGAGGAGCAUGCCUGUUUGAGUGUCAUGAAAUUCUCAACCUUUUCAACCUUUGUUUUGGUGGAUCAGGAUUGGAUGUGGGAGCUUGCAGGCUUGUUCAGAAGUCGGCUCUCCUUAAAUGCAUUAGUGGGACCUUUGUUAAGCCUAGCUUUGGUGUAGUAAUUAUCUAUGCCAUUUGCUCAAGCAGUAUACAAUGAGGUCUUGCUUCUAAUGGUCUCUCUUAGAGACACCUUC